This 497-nucleotide ribosomal RNA is filed under the name uncultured bacterium. RNAcentral's name for it is "partial 16S ribosomal RNA". It matches the Rfam family "Bacterial small subunit ribosomal RNA", at positions 28 to 507 of the family's 1533-position model. The record is from RNAcentral.
GAUGAACGCUGGCGGCGUGCCUAAUACAUGCAAGUCGAGCGAACGGACGAGAAGCUUGCUUCUCUGAUGUUAGCGGCGGACGGGUGAGUAACACGUGGAUAACCUACCUAUAAGACUGGGAUAACUUCGGGAAACCGGAGCUAAUACCGGAUAAUAUUUUGAACCGCAUGGUUCAAAAGUGAAAGACGGUCUUGCUGUCACUUAUAGAUGGAUCCGCGCUGCAUUAGCUAGUUGGUAAGGUAACGGCUUACCAAGGCAACGAUGCAUAGCCGACCUGAGAGGGUGAUCGGCCGCGCUGGAACUGAGACACGGUCCAGACUCCUACGGGAGGCAGCAGUAGGGAAUCUUCCGCAACGGGCGAAAGCCUGACGGAGCAACGCCGCGUGAGUGAUGAAGGUCUUCUGAUCGUAAAACUCUGUUAUUAGGGAAGAACAUAUGUGUAAGUAACUGUGCACAUCUUGACGGUACCUAAUCAGAAAGCCACGGCUAACUACGUG